Molecule: ribosomal RNA, 451 nt
Filed under: uncultured bacterium
Lineage: Bacteria
Description: partial 16S ribosomal RNA
Rfam family: Bacterial small subunit ribosomal RNA
Source: RNAcentral
GUGGGGAAUAUUGGACAAUGGGGGGAACCCUGAUCCAGCCAUGCCGCGUGUGUGAAGAAGGCCUUUUGGUUGUAAAGCACUUUAAGCGAGGAGGAGGCUACCGAGAUUAAUACUCUUGGAUAGUGGACGUUACUCGCAGAAUAAGCACCGGCUAACUCUGUGCCAGCAGCCGCGGUAAUACAGAGGGUGCAAGCGUUAAUCGGAUUUACUGGGCGUAAAGCGCGCGUAGGUGGACAAUUAAGUCAAAUGUGAAAUACCCGAGCUUAACUUGGGAAUUGCAUUCGAUGCUGGUUGGCUAGAGUAUGGGAGAGGAUGGUAGAAUUCCAGGUGUAGCGGUGAAAUGCGUAGAGAUCUGGAGGAAUACCGAUGGCGAAGGCAGCCAUCUGGCCUAAUACUGACACUGAGGUGCGAAAGCAUGGGGAGCAAACAGGAUUAGAUACCCGAGUAGUCC